CACCAAAUGUGUUAGAUAAGAGUUCAGAGCCUGUGUUCUAGACACAUGAUUUAGAGUACAGACUUGGGUCCUGCUAGAAAACAACUCAGAACAUUUGCUUAGCCUAAUACUUUUUUUUUUUUUAAUCUGCACAUAAUUAUUAUUGUAGCAGCUGCUUUUGCAAUAAAAAGACUUAAAGUCGAGGGUCCCUAUUCUUACUGAGGUGCUGUUUUCCACAUGCAGUGCUUGGCUGUGUUGGAGGUCACCAAGAAAGACUUCCUGGCUGUCAUGUGGAAGCUAAGUGGGCUGGGGUCAAAAGGGUUUCUGGCCAUGGUGCUUGUGCUGCAGUGAUCUUGUUCUCCAUCACACUCCAACACAGGUAGCCAUCUUCACCCUCUCCCAAGAGGUGAAGAGUCAAGACUCACAGGGGACUCGGGGCACAAGGUGGGGGGACACCCAGGACAGGGUGCCAACCCAUUGCAGGGCACAAUUGCACACAUUUUUUAGAGAUGCCAAUCGGCCUAUGACACAUGUCCUUGGACUGCGGGAGGAAACCAGAGUACCGGAUGAAACCCCCUGAAGCACGAUGAGAACUACGAUGCACGGCAGAGGCAGGAAUCGAACCUCCAACCCUGGAGGUGCAAGGCAAGCAUGAUAACCUAGGGGCAGCAAUUGCCUUGGGCCCCGAGCUAGCAAGAGCCCCCAAAACGCUGCAUAAACUUAUAAAUCCCUUCUGUUGUGUGCUGGAAGAUCGC
Molecule: long non-coding RNA, 734 nt
Organism: Ictalurus punctatus (channel catfish)
Lineage: Eukaryota; Metazoa; Chordata; Actinopteri; Siluriformes; Ictaluridae
Source: Ensembl